Molecule: ribosomal RNA, 253 nt
Filed under: uncultured bacterium
Lineage: Bacteria
Description: partial 16S ribosomal RNA
Rfam family: Bacterial small subunit ribosomal RNA
Source: RNAcentral
UACAGAGGUGGCAAGCGUUGUUCGGAAUUACUGGGCGUAAAGGGCGCGUAGGCGGCGCGGUAAGUCACUUGUGAAAUCUCUGAGCUUAACUCAGAACGGCCAAGUGAUACUGCAGUGCUAGAGUGUGGAAGGGGCAAUCGGAAUUCUUGGUGUAGCGGUGAAAUGCGUAGAUAUCAAGAGGAACACCGGUGGCGAAGGCGGGUCUCUGGGCAGUAACUGACGCUGAGGAGCGAAAGCGUGGGGAGCGAACAGG